Molecule: long non-coding RNA, 8879 nt
Organism: Xiphophorus hellerii (green swordtail)
Lineage: Eukaryota; Metazoa; Chordata; Actinopteri; Cyprinodontiformes; Poeciliidae
Exons: 6
Source: RefSeq, a predicted model, not a curated record
GAGGAUGUGGAUGUGACUGUAUAUCACGUUAAAGUGUACAACGUCGUUAUAGCGAGUAAUAAUAGAGAGGGGCUGUCUUUCGAAAAGAGCAUCGCCUGUUUCCUCUGGGGCUUGAAUUCUGCCCUGAGGUGUGACCUUGUGAACUUGGCUCUGAAUAUCCCCAGUUCUGUCUCUCCGGACUCCCCUCCGCAUCCCUGGGCUCUAUUGUACAGGCUUUACCCAGGCAGGAAGUGACAUCAACGGGUCCAAACUAAAAAUAUGUCGCAGGACGAGCUGGUUUGGAUGUCCAGGACCGAUGUUUGUUUAAAAAGGAGGAUGCCUCCCACAAGGUGAUGCUCCCCUGAAGGAUGCAGCAGAGUGCCACGCUGGGGAGGCAGACAGACAGACGAGCGGGGCUGAGUUCUCUGUCAUCCACAGUUUAAUGAAAGGAAUGGUACGAGGUGUCAACGUGUUUCAGAGACUCUUGAAUGCCUACUCAUCUAAAAUCUGGAUGUAUUUUUGGCUAUAUGGAAAGACAAUGCAGCCUGGGGAGCUGAAAAAGUUAGUGCAAUGGCACUUGAAACACAAUUUGCUGGCAUUUAUAAAGCAGUCAGUCAAGAAGAGCCAUUCCUUUUCCCUGGCGCUGAUUGGCUACACCCCAAGAGUGAAGCUGCCCGCCCAGUGAAGCCGUCAAGCCAUUAGUGAGUCCCAGCGAUGAUAAUGAAACCUCGGAGGUGGUCUGAGCCACUGUGGUAGUGGAGCUGGAGCACAAGAGAAAGGUAGAUUAGGAUAAUUACCUUUUCCAUGAGGGCACAAUGAAAAAAAUCUCACUUCCUGCAGGCCUUGGUUGACAAUGCAGUGCACAAUAAUCAGGUCUGACAGCCUUUAGCUGAAAAAAGAUAGAAUAAAAAUUGCAUUAAAGUAAGUUACUAUUAGUUCUAAUGACUAGCAUAAGGAAUAUCACAUAUGUGAAAAUGUUCCUGUUUUUUUUCCUGAUUUUUCCAGGUUUUAUCCACAGCCCCCACAGGUGUUUAUUUGUUGUGUGUGCAGCAGUGGUUUAGGACCUCACACACACUAUGGAUGCCUAAAACAUCACCGCUCUUACUUUGAAGAGCCUAUGAGGUCAGGUUUUAAAUUAUAGUCUGAACCCACACCAGGUAUUCCCACUGCAGUCCUGUAAAUCCAUUUUCCACACAAUGCAUUUCAAAUCAAAGCAGCGUCACCGUAACACGCCUUAGGAAACAUUAAGCCAUAGUGCGCUACUUUCAUGUAAGAUAGCAUAGCCUCUGUAUGCUUUGAUGUGCCCACUUUUUUAAUGCUUUAUUAAUAAUAACACACUGGCUUCUUCUCACAUCACCACCAGCUUCUUGUCCUGUUUUUUCUCUUUCUGAACCACAUCCGUCGCCCCAUCCAAGCUGUGGCUGCUUUUCCCCUCCCCAGCCCCUCAGCUCUGUCACAGGAUUGGCCUGUUGGUGUUCAGGAGGGGGAUUAUGGGGAACAGCGUGGGUCUUGAGAUGAAGAGAGCGACAAAGGCCUAUCAGAGGGCAGGAAGUACACAAAGCUCCCACAUCAUUGGCUGCAGAGGAAAUCAAACACAUCAUAAUUUCUUCUAGUCAUUCCUUCUCCGAGUGCCGAGCUUUUAUUUUUCCCACCCAAAGAGGAGGGGUGUUUGGCAGGAACUGGGAGGUGGGUCAGGUUUUGAGUUACUGUCAGUGAGUUUAAGUGUGUUUACUCUCAUGUUUACAGGUCUGUAAACACAGAAGUAACCCAGGAAUGAGCAUGUAGACACUGAUCGUACUCACCUCUUCCGAUUCUGGCCAAAAUACAAAGCAGCCUGCACAGUCCUUGUGCUGUCCAGAAUGAACAGUAUGAAUGGGAUGUCUGAUUCAUGCAUGAAUCAAACUUAUUUACUUAUUUAACCUUUUUCAGCAGAGGUGUUACUUUAAAACUGAUGGCAAAGAGGCACAUAAUGUGAUCUGUUGUUUCCCAGCUGAUCCAAAAGUCUUCUAUUUGACCAGAAGGCAUGGCUAUGAUUAUUUAUUUAUCUUUAAUUCCAUGCUCCAUGUUGUCCAUGUUUUCUUUAUUUUUGAUAGUAUAUGACUUAGUAUUCUGGAGCCUAAAAGUUUUAGACAUGUUUUUUAGUAACACAUUCCUGGCUAACUGAUGUCAGUGUUUUGUUUCUCAUAUGUUCUUGAAUUUUUAUAAACACAUUAAGUUUCUAAAUAUAUUAGUCUACUUUGUUGUCAUACUGGUUCUGUUUAAGUAAUGUCUUAAUUUUACAGAUGCAACAGGAUUCAGACUUCCGUGUGAUUAAUAAAACUUAACCUAAGAAUCAGGUUAAUCACAAUUAAUUUAAUAAUUUGAAAUUAUUAAAUUUUAAUAAAUAUUAAAGUGAUUUAUUAAUAAUUUUAAUAAAUAAAAUGUAUAAAUUUGUUUACACAGGGCGUGGUUAUUUUGGAAGACUUUCUUCUGAACUGCUUUUUGUAUUUACUCAGGUUUGUAUCCUGAGAUAAACUUCUGUUCUCCACCACAGAUACAGGCUAAAAUGAUUAAGUAACACUGUUUAUAUAAAUAAUGCCACUCUUGUCAAUUCAAGGUAAAAAUUUAGCUACCACAAGCUGUUUUUUAAUGUUAAAUUAAAAAUUGUAUUUACUUAUAUUAAACAAGCUUAGUUUCGGUUGAUUUUUUUUAAAUAUAAAUUAAAAUGUCAGGAUAUUUAUAACAAGACAAAAGUCUUUUGCAACAAGAGCAACAUGGAUUUGCAGAAACAAAAUACUUUCUUCAAAGUCUACUUCCAGUUGGAGGUGGAAAAUGUGUCUGACUAACGUAAAAUGCAGCCUAUCAAAAACUAGGGCAGCUGUGUUUGCUUUAUAAUAAAAGAAAGUAUCACCAUCAUAAAGAUGGAGAGCUGAAUCACUAACACUAACAUUCUUACUCACAUUACUGGUAGCAAUUGAAAAACGUUUUAGACCAAAUACAGAACCCUGAUGCAUACCUUUUGUAACAGUAAGAAAGACCACUGAACACACCGCUUAUGGACAGAAAGCUCAUUAGAAAACCAGUUGUGGGCUCAAUCUGAAAAAUUUACUUCAUAGCAGAAAAUAUUAUGAUAAGUAUCAAAUGAGUUUCAUAAGUGUUUGAGAAGCAGUUCAGAUUUUAGUUACUAGCUGUAUACUGCUUUGCGUUUUUUUUUUCCAACUAUGCUAAUAUCCAAAAUUGAAACAGUUGGAAGUGCAAGUGUUUUGCUAAAGCUAACCAGACAGACAGGAUGCAGCCAGUUGACUUUAAAGUGACCGGGAGCUGUGAGUCCGGGCGCCAACCGACUCUCUCCCCUUCGCCUAUAAUAGAUCUGAGUGGUCUGAGGGCCCUGUGGGGGCACCUGGCUCUCCUCCCUGCCAUCACUGGCUAAAUCGAUCGUUGAGGCCAUCUCAGCGAACAGACCAGGGGUCAGCUUCAAAGGCCUCCUGCCCACUUCCUGCCACCUGGUGUUCCAUAUAGGACGAUAGGUACAUUUUCUUUCCAGCCCCCACCCCCCGUUACCCUUCUCCGAACAGGUUAAGGACAUGGAGCCAGUACAGCUCCUCCCUGUGAUCUCCUGCUGCCUCCUCCCAAGCCACCCACAUGCAGAGAGAGGGUGAGAGAUCAGUCCCACACAAAUACAACAUAAUAACACCACCAUUUGAUGUGAAAAUCUGCUUUUGAUUUAAUUAUAGCCCACAAAUGCAUAUCUGUCUACAAUGAAAAGAUUUGAGAAUUUUUGGCCAGAGCUACAGUUUCCUUUCUAUGGUGCUGGUAGGUGUCAUAUGAUCUUAAAUCUCUUAUCGAGAAUGUUUCCCUUUCCAUGUGUGCAUUCAAAUAUCUCCUGAUUUCGGUUAAUAACAAAAUAAUGACAUCAAAAACAAACAUUUUCAUGCCACGCAUUUUAAUCACAUUAUGAUAUGUGAGCAUCUUCCUCAUAUUUUAACAAAUCAAGUUAAGUAAAGCAAAUGGUCUGUUUACACCAAUCAGUCAUAAGAUUAUAACUAAUGCCAGGUGCCGUGAGUAAUAUGUUGUUAUAACAGAAUGUUCAGCUGAGAAAACCAUCAGCAUUGGUGUUAUUUUGACAUUUACCACAGACGUAAACAGUUUAGAAGAAUAUUCCACCCCCCUAACCCCAUUUCCUCCCCUGUGGGUGCUUUAAAAGCUGCUUACAAAAAUGGCUUAAAGAACAUGACAGCAGAUCUUAGGGGUUUAGUCAGCCUCUAAAAUCCCCAGAUUCUGACCUGAUGGGAUCUAAUUGCAUCUGUAAUAAGAAACUCUGUCCAAAAAACUCCCCAUGACACAUCAAAGAGGGGUCAAAGAAAUAUUAAAAUCUAUUGUUUAGGAACUAAACAUUUAGGAUAUCCUAAAUGUUUAGAUAUUUUACACCAGAGCAGAUGCAGAGCAUCCUGAAAGUUUUAAAUGUACUUUUUCACACUUCAUCAGGUUGGAAACAUAAACUUGAACUUGUUUGAUUAGGAUUGCACUAAACCAAAAACAAAGUAGGAAUCAGUUGUGAUGUUGAAAGAAAAAGACAGAGAAUUUUCAAAAUGUUUUAAAAAAUAAAAAUCUGAUGAUUGAUCUCUCUUUGUUCUAUUUCCCCUUAGUCAAGACAAGUGCAACCAGCUGUCUUCAGAAAUCACCUAACUAGUAAAUUCAACAUCACCUGUGCAUCAUUUAAUCUCAGUUUGCCACAAACUGAGGCAGACAAUACAAUAGAAGCAACACAGUGCCCUGAUUAAGGGGGGUUCCAAAUAUAAUAUAAUUUUAUUACAAUGUAUGCUUUGCACACAUUGUGCUUAAACAAAAGCAAACAAAAUUCCUAUCUCCUAGGCCCAAAUCAGGUGAGAUGUAUUUUCAAGUGUUUGAAAAUGAAGAACUUAUAGUCAUUUUUGGAUGCAACAUGCAGUUAUUGGCUCCGGUCAUAUUAAACCUACCAUGCAUCAGUUCAAACCUGCUCAUGUAUAGAGCUACCUGUUAAUGUACUCUAAGUGUUAUUAGUAAAAUAAUUUUACUAAUAAUGCCAGGUCGUUGUUGUAAAUAAGAAUUAGUUCUCAAUAACUCACAUUGUUAAGUAAAGAUUAAAAAAGAAAAAUAGUGGGUGGGGCAACAAAACUGGCCCAGGGCCCACAUCCUUUUAAAUCCGGCCCCGGCCACAAGCCACAAAACGUAAGGAAAAGGUGUUAUUGUAAAAACAAAGAGAAAAACUGAAACACUGUUUGGAAAAUAACCCUGAAUACAUAAUCUUCAUAGUGAAACAUGGUGGUGACGGCAUCAUGCUGUGGGGAUGCUUUCCUUCCACACAGUCAAAUUGAUUGAUUGGGAUUGUAGAAAGAUGGAUGGUGGGGCUAUUUUGCAAAGAAGAAUGAGAAUAAAUGUCAGUUUCUCUACCAGCUCUUUGUGCAGAGCUAGUAGAGAAAUGUCUGGCAGCUGUUUUGGCAGGAAAGGGGGAUUCUACAAUAUAUCGACUUGGAGAGGCUUAAAAUACACAGCAGACUUUUUAGAUUUUCAUUUGUUUUAAAAAAAAUGACAACCGUGAAAUAUUUCCUUCCAUUUUAAAAUGCCACUCAACUUUUGUGGGUUUUUACCACAUGAAACCAAAUAAAAUACACCAAAGUUUGUGGUUGAAAUGUGACAAAAUGUGACAAGUUACCAGGGUUUGAAUACUUUUGCAAGAGCAUGCAGACAGUCAUAAUGUUAUGGCUGAUCAGUGUUUAACAGGGCAAUAAAUUAAAGCACUUCUUGGCUCUCACUUGGAGCAUGUUUCGUUAUUAACUGAUCAACAGAUCUGCUAUGGUAUGAAUAACUCUCUCUUUCCCUGUUGGUCCCGUAACAAAUGGCAGGGCUCUCGGACACACAUUUGUGUCUCCAUCAGGGCUGUCGUACAAUCAGCUCCAAGAAUACAUAUUAAUCAAUGUCGUUUUUUUUUGUUUUUUCUUCCUGUUCUUGUCUGCUUAUUAAGCCCAGCCAUCAACCAACCCCCCCUGCUUCCAAUACGUUAGCGGAUAUCAGUAUGUCCACUACUCUUGUGAACAGGGAUGAGAAGGAGAAAAAGAGGGAGAGGAAAUAAAGGUCUGAGGAGUUUGGCAAAGAGACGAUGGAGGCUGAGACAGAUGGCAUGAAGUCUGCAGCACUCUGGCGUGGCUCGCCUGGUGCUAAAAUCCUCCUCUCUCACAUUCCAAUAAAUCCUACCAGGAGGCUGGGGAGUCUGUCACACCACUCCAAGGAUCCACACGGCUCUCCUCCCUACCUCCCUCCCCCAUACAUCAGUGCCCCCCCUCCUCAUCAGUGUCUGAGUCUCUGACCACUCCAGUAUCUGAUUUCUGCUUUUACUGAACCCACAGAACUGUCUGCAUUCACUUACAGAAAUGUAUAGAUGUGGAUCUACUGAUAAGAUCAGCAGCAGCAGAUGAAAAAAAUAGUCUUUAUGAUCGCUCUUAUUGAAAACUUUUGAGAGAUGGCCUUUAUUGUCAUUCCAGAGUGCAAAUCGUAUUCUGGCCCAAAACAUGAGAGAAACACUGUACAAUCCAUUUACAUUAGAGGAAAAAGACAUAAGAAGCUUUUUGAUUAGUCUCACCAGAGCCUGCAAUCAGCCCAAAGUCUUGAGCAGACACAGUCUAACCAAAUAUCAGCCUAAACAUGCAGCUUGCAGUUCAAGGCUUCCUGUGGGUCUUUAAAUCCAAAGUGGACAAUAAGUGAGGCUGUGAUUACACACUUAGCCCAAAGCCCAAAACUUGAUCCCAGACUCCUCAGCAACUUCACAUCCGUAUUCUGAACUGCUGGAGCUUCUUUGAGUUUGCUCUCUUUUUUGCCGACUCAAAGUGGAUCAUCUCCUAAGAACAAUCUAAUUUAUUUUACGCUCUCUCUCUCUCUCUUCCUCUCUCUCUCUCCCUGUGUUUCUUUCUGGCUUCUGUUUGUUCUAAUGAAUGACUUCUGAGAUAAAGAGCUGCUGUGAUGGGGUCACAGAGGGCCUCAGAAUCACAUUACUGUUAAUGAUAAUAAAAAGAACAAUCUGCGCUGAACGUCUUGGAUGUUUCCCUUUUCUCCACCCGUAUGGACGGGACGUUUUAUCUGCUAUUGUUUUCAGUGUUGUUACACAUGAAAAGCGUAUGAAAUUAAAAUGCAUUCUAAAUAUUGUCUUGUGUUUUGAUGUAAGCAUUGUCUGUUGAAGAUAAAAAGGAUGCUCUGAUAACGAUAAAAAAAAAAUUAUACAGCGGUGCACCAUCUGGGUAACAAAGUACAGAACCAUGCACAACAUCAGGCAGAGCAACAGGGAGCAGCAUCAGAAAAUAUUCCCUGAGGUAACAUUUUAAGUGCACAAUGAAUACCAAAAACACUUAAACUGCAAAUAUGAAUUUCUAACAACUGACAGAGUUAUUCUGGUGUAGGUCUUUGUUCGAGUCACUUCCACGUUUAACAGACUCAGAUUUAUGUUUUCUGCCUUUGCCGAACUGCGUAAAGCAUAAUUUUAAAAAAUGUGCGGAAAGUCAUUUUUAAAACAUUAAGUGGGGACAACUUUCUUUGUGUUUAAACUAAAUGCAGGCUCAAUCGCAUCUUCUGAAAAGCAUCACAUAAGUGCAUCUGAAUAAAUUAGAAAAGAGUUGAAAAGUUACAUAUUUCAGCAAUUCAAUUCAAAAAGUAGAACUUUUACAAUAUGGGAAAUAUUACACAUACUGUGAUAUAUUUUUCCAGUGUUCACUUUGAUGAUUAAGGUUUUUUGACAAAAAUUUAAUUUAUCAGAGAAUUAUUACACAGAAUAUUUGGUGAAGACUACUUGACUUACUCACUAUUAUUGACAAGGAUGUAAAGCUACAAAAAUCUCAUUUUAAGAAAGGCUGGGUGUUUUCAGAGUGCUGUGUCCAAAGAUAUUUUUUGGAAAGUUUAGUGGAAGGAAAACUGUGUUAGAAAAAUGACAGGGACUGGAAUCAGUACUUCAAUCACCACUGCACACUGACAUAUCUGGGACAUGGAGUACAACUGUUGCAUCUCCCAAAUCAGAGACAUCCCUUGAAGGGUUUUACCUAGAAAAAGGAGGAAAAUGACUCGGCUGUGAAAAAAAAUAAGAUGAGCUGUAGGGCUCUAUUAAACUAGAACUUCCUUAACACCUCUGUAGAACCCCAGGCUGAUUUCCUCCAUGUAAAGUAGGACUAAUUUAGCAAUUCAUGCAAAAACAGCCCUGGUCUAAGGUAAUACUUAAAAUUUUUGAGAAUCUGUGUCUACAUUGGCUAUAAAUCAUGAAAUCAAAAUGUGAAGAAAUGAAUAUCUAAAGCACAUCACUGUGUUCUUAAAGCAUUUAAUUCAAGUUUUCAAUAAAAUUCUAUGUUAUUCAGGCGCUUUGUGUUUAGAUCCUUCAUUGCAUUGACAUGCAGGUGAAAAACUCACACAAACAGCUUGAGAAACAAAGUUUUGAGCCAAAAACACUCAGCACAUCAACUCAUAUCUCCAGAUUUAUCUUGUACAGGUCAUCAGAGCAUCAUAUGUAGAGGAUAUUUACAUGAAUGUGACAUUCACAAGCGGCUCAUUUGUGGCUUUCCCUCCCCCUCGCCACAGAGACACAGUUGCUGGCUGUCCUUCCUGCGUGGCAGGGCAGUGUGGCGUCCCCAGGCUCCUUGGCGCUGCAGCUGUCACCCACGGAUGGGAAAGUGGUAGGGUCGGUGGCUCCGCCGCGUGGCUCCUGGCAGCAUCCGUCCCACCCUGGCCCGGUGAAAGGCCAGGGAUCAGGAGCCCAGCUUUGCGAUGGAUUGAUCGAGUGCCAGCCCUCCAUUAGACACCGUCAGAGCCAAAGGGAUGGAUCCGCGGAGGUAGAGUGGACCACCACCAUCCACAAUCAUACCGCUACCAACAUGUCAACACUCCAGUUUAACCAGAACUUUAGUCAAGCU